Molecule: transfer RNA, 79 nt
Filed under: Miscanthus x giganteus
Lineage: Eukaryota; Viridiplantae; Streptophyta; Magnoliopsida; Poales; Poaceae
Description: tRNA-Leu
Source: RNAcentral
UCUUAGGAAGCAGUGCUCAAGCAUCUCGGUUCGAAUCCGAGUGGCGGCAUUCUCGAAAAAGAAUACAAUAAAUUAGAAA